This is a long non-coding RNA of Conger conger (European conger), 1129 nucleotides long. RefSeq lists it as uncharacterized. Lineage: Eukaryota; Metazoa; Chordata; Actinopteri; Anguilliformes; Congridae. The transcript is spliced from 3 exons. The record is from RefSeq and is a predicted model, not a curated record.
GGGGGGGGGGAGACUACUACGCUUGUGUGACGAAUAAGCUGGAAACCAUAGCAACACCAGGGAACAAAGUGCCGCCAUUCUAAAGCGGAUUUCAUAGGAUGACAGCACAACUGCCCGAGCGCAAUAGGGGGAAGACAUGCUCUGUGUGAAAUUGAAGUGCAAUACCCUUCUGAGAACCAGUGCCUCAGCUUCCUGUGCAGUCGCUACUUUAGAGGGGUACACUUGGUGCAGGCUGCCUAUCCAACACCCGACUGGCCAAAGAUGUAGCUGAUGCAAAAUGGAAUUAGAACACUACCCGAUGUUGCCCUCCCUCCUGAAUCAUGAAGUAAAUGUAUUGGGUGCGUCACAGUUAAACACGGUUCCUGUGCUGGAAUAAUGGCUUUUUAAUUGUGCAUUCUGUGUAUUGUUUAAUGUUCCUGUAUGCAUGGCUGAAAAAAAGUAUGGAGAUUGGUGUAGUAUUUAAAAGUAUAUUACAUUCACCGAAAGAUUUUGUAUGAAAACUGUAAACUAUUCAGAUAUUACAUCCCAUCAUGCCUUGAUGAUUGGAGGAGGACAGCAGAAAAUUGAGCAUAUUACUGACAGAGUCUUAUGGGUUGAACCUGUUUUUGCAUAGUAAUACUGAUGAAAAGCAGUCACGGGGACCUAGUACACAGCAUGUGUUGUGUAAAACUUAUGCAUACCUUCUACAACUUCUAUGUACAUACCAAGUACUAGGGCUGUACAGAGACUGCUUGGAAGGUAUACGCUGAAAUUUAUGUUCUGUAGCCUCAUCAUCACCCUAUGUGAGAUCAUUGAAGGCACUGGUUCAGUGUUUCAGAAGCCCUCCGUCCAUGUUCUUACUGUGAAAUUAGAAACGGAAGCCUUUUCCCCCAGCAGCUUUUCAGUUGUGUCAGCAUGUGAAUUUAAAUCCACUGCGAUCAGCAAUUUCCAUGGCAGACCUGGCAAUAACCCCAACUCAACCUCACGAUAACUAGCUCUGUAUGAUGAAGUCAUUGGAAAUGCUCACAGUUACUUAUGGUGUUGCUGGUUUGUCUUCUUUAACAUAUACUGUAUAAUUAAUUAGCAAUUCACAUGUCAGUCCCAUGACCAGCCUAGUGUUUCGUAUAAACAGAAUAUGCUAAUAUGUACU